Molecule: ribosomal RNA, 704 nt
Filed under: uncultured fungus
Lineage: Eukaryota; Fungi
Description: eukaryotic LSU rRNA
Rfam family: 5.8S ribosomal RNA (bases 239-392)
Source: RNAcentral
UUCCGUAGGUGAACCUGCGGAAGGAUCAUUCACAAUAAGUGUUUUUAUGGCACUUUAAAAAUCCAUAUCCACCUUGUGUGCAACGUUUUGAGCUCUUUUUGUCAUUUCGCCGGUCGCAGAACGUUUGUUCUACAGCCGCGGAAGGUACGAUAAGGAGGGCUUUUUAUACCUUAACUCUUGAUCUUUAACAACUUUGUCUGAAAAGCUAUUGCGAAUUAACUUAAUUCAAAAUAAAUACAACUUUCGACAACGGAUCUCUUGGCUCUCGCAUCGAUGAAGAACGCAGCGAAAUGCGAUACGUAAUGUGAAUUGCAGAAUUCAGUGAAUCAUCGAAUCUUUGAACGCACAUUGCGCUCUCUGGUAUUCCGGAGAGCAUGCUUGCUUGAGUAUCAGUAAAACACCUCAAGUCCGCUCUUCUUUUUGAAGACGGAUUUGGACUUGAGCGAUCCCAACAGGAGGGGCUUUCCCCUCUGGCGGGUUGCUUGAAAUGCAGGUGCAGCUGGAUUUUCAUCUGGGCUAUAAGCAUAUCUAUUUAGUCCCGUUAAACGGAUUAUUACUUUUUGCUGCAGCCAACGUAAAGGUUGAUUGUCCUCUUGCUGACUGAUGCAGGAAUUUUCGGGGGAUCGGCAACGAUUACCCGUUAAACUCGAUCUCAAAUCAAGUAAGACUACCCGCUGAACUUAAGCAUAUCAAUAAGCGGAGGA